GACGAACGCUGGCGGCGUGCUUAACACAUGCAAGUCGAACGGAAAGGCCCUGCUUUUGUGGGGUGCUCGAGUGGCGAACGGGUGAGUAACACGUGAGUAACCUGCCCUUGACUUUGGGAUAACUUCAGGAAACUGGGGCUAAUACCGGAUAGGAGCUCCUGCUGCAUGGUGGGGGUUGGAAAGUUUCGGCGGUUGGGGAUGGACUCGCGGCUUAUCAGCUUGUUGGUGGGGUAGUGGCUUACCAAGGCUUUGACGGGUAGCCGGCCUGAGAGGGUGACCGGCCACAUUGGGACUGAGAUACGGCCCAGACUCCUACGGGAGGCAGCAGUGGGGAAUAUUGCACAAUGGGCGGAAGCCUGAUGCAGCAACGCCGCGUGCGGGAUGACGGCCUUCGGGUUGUAAACCGCUUUCGCCUGUGACGAAGCGUGAGUGACGGUAAUGGGUAAAGAAGCACCGGCUAACUACGUGCCAGCAGCCGCGGUGAUACGUAGGGUGCGAGCGUUGUCCGGAUUUAUUGGGCGUAAAGGGCUCGUAGGUGGUUGAUCGCGUCGGAAGUGUAAUCUUGGGGCUUAACCCUGAGCGUGCUUUCGAUACGGGUUGACUUGAGGAAGGUAGGGGAGAAUGGAAUUCCUGGUGGAGCGGUGGAAUGCGCAGAUAUCAGGAGGAACACCAGUGGCGAAGGCGGUUCUCUGGGCCUUUCCUGACGCUGAGGAGCGAAAGCGUGGGGAGCGAACAGGCUUAGAUACCCUGGUAGUCCACGCUGUAAACGGUGGGUACUAGGUGUGGGGUCCAUUCCACGGGUUCCGUGCCGUAGCUAACGCUUUAAGUACCCCGCCUGGGGAGUACGGCCGCAAGGCUAAAACUCAAAGGAAUUGACGGGGCCCCGCACAAGCGGCGGAGCAUGCGGAUUAAUUCGAUGCAACGCGUAGAACCUUACCUGGGUUUGACAUGGAUCGGGAGCGCUCAGAGAUGGGUGUGCCUCUUUUGGGGUCGGUCCACAGGUGGUGCAUGGCUGUCGUCAGCUCGUGUCGUGAGAUGUUGGGUUAAGUCCCGCAACGAGCGCAACCCUUGUUCACUGUUGCCAGCACGUUAUGGUGGGGACUCAGUGGAGACCGCCGGGGUCAACUCGGAGGAAGGUGGGGAUGACGUCAAGUCACCAUGCCCCUUAUGUCCAGGGCUUCACGCAUGCUACAAUGGCUGGUACAGAGAGUGGCGAGCCUGUGAGGGUGAGCGAAUCUCGGAAAGCCGGUCUCAGUUCGGAUUGGGGUCUGCAACUCGACCUCAUGAAGUCGGAGUCGCUAGUAAUCGCAGAUCAGCAACGCUGCGGUGAAUACGUUCCCGGGGCU
RNAcentral lists this ribosomal RNA (1346 nucleotides) under uncultured bacterium. Its description in RNAcentral is "bacterial SSU rRNA". It matches the Rfam family "Bacterial small subunit ribosomal RNA", at positions 28 to 1381 of the family's 1533-position model. The record is from RNAcentral.